AUAAGUUACACAAGGGCACAUGACGGAUGCCUUGACAUAAAUCACCGACGAAGGUCGUAGAAGGCUGCGAAAAGCCUCGGGGAGCUGCCAAUCAAGCUUUGAUCCGGGGAUUACCGAAUGGGGAAACCCAGCAAUGGUUAUACAUUGUUACUCAUAUUUGAAUCUAUAGAAUAUGAAGAGGGAACGACGUGAACUGAAACAUCUAAGUAGCGUCAGGAAUAGAGAGAAACCUCAAUUCUCCAAGUAGCGGCGAGCGAAAGGGGAAGAGCCAAAACUUUUAUGAUUUUCGCGUGUUCGCACGCGAAUAAGCUGACAGGCGAAUAUUAUAAAGGGGUUGUGAGAUUACAGAUGACCAAUAACGGGUACUUAACACCUUCGGGGGUUGAGUGCGACGUUAUUGCGACCGCGUGGCUGUCACCCACGGGUAAGGUAAGAAAGUUGAAGAUUAGUGGAAGUUGCCGGAAUGCAGCGCCAAAGAGGGUGAAAGCCCCGUACGCGAAAAUCUUUAGCCCUUAUAUCUGUUUUCUCGAGUAGGCCGGGACACGUGAAACCCUGGUUGAAUCUAGGAGGACCACCUCCUAAGGCUAAAUAUGAUUUAUGAUCGAUAGCGAACAAGUACCGUGAGGGAAAGGCGAAAAGAACCCCGGAAGGGGAGUGAAAUAGAACCUGAAAUCAUGUGCCUACAAUGAGUCGGAGCAGAUUUAUUCUGUGACGGCGUGCUUUUUGUAGAACGAUCCAGCGAGUUACGCUCAGCAGCGUUAGGUUAAGUCAUAUGACGGAGCCGUAGUGAAAGCGAGCCUUAAUAGGGCGAUCAAAGUUGCUGGGAGUAGACCCGAAACCGGGUGACCUAACCAUGGGCAGGUUGAAGCGUAGGUAAAACUACGUGGAGGACCGAACCAGGAAGAGUUGCAAAUCUUUUGGAUGACCUGUGGUUAGCGGAGAAAUUCCAAUCGAACCCGGAGAUAGCUGGUUCUCCUCGAAAUAGCUUUAGGGCUAGCGUCACGAACUACCUCAUGGGGGUAGAGCUCUGAUUGAGUAAUGGUCCGCAAGGAUACUGAUCUCUGUCAAACUGCGAAUACCAUGAGAGACUACCGUGGCAGUCAGAACGGCGGGGCUAAGCUCGUCGCUCAAAAGGGAAACAGCCCAGAUCGCCAUCUAAGGCCCCCAAAUCUAUACUAAGUGGGAAACGAUGUGAAAACGCAUAAACAACCAGGAUGUGGGCUUAGAAGCAGCCAUGCAUUUAAAGAGUGCGUAACAGCUCACUGGUCAAUUGUGAUUUUGCGCGGAAAAUGUAACGGGGCUAAGUAUAGUGCCGAAGAUGCGAAUUGAGCGUCAUUUAUGACGUUUAGUGGUAGAGGAGCGUUCCUCUCGCAGUGAAGCCGAGCCGGAAGGCCAGGUGGAGCGUGGGGAAGUGAGAAUGCUGGAAUAAGUAACUUUAAGGCAGGUGAGAAUCCUGCCCACCGUAAGAGCAAGGUUUCCUGGGCUACGAUUAUCGUCCCAGGGUUAGUCGGGCCUAAGCCGAGGCGAGUAGCGUAGGCGAUGGACAACGGGUUGAUAUUCCCGUACCGGCGAGAUUGUUCCUCCAUAUGACGCGGCGUGAUAACUAGAGCGGAUUUUUGGCUAUAUCCGUCUAAGCAGGUAGUCCUCAGCAAUGAGGGUGAGACGCGAAUGAGAGUUCAUGUAAUGUGGACGAUUCUAGUGAGUCAAGCUGACCAGAAAAGUAAUGGAGUAAAUAGAUCUAGCCGCCCGUACCGCAAACCGACUCCGGUGCUCGGGUCGAGAAGACCAAGGUGUACGAGAGAACCCUUGUUAAGGAACUCGGCAAUACAGCGACCGUAACUUCGGGAUAAGGUCUGCCUCCUUCGGGAGGCCGCAGCAAAAGAGUUCAUGCGACUGUUUAUCAAAAACACAGGUCUGUGCUAACACGAAAGUGGAUGUAUACGGACUGACGCCUGCCCGGUGCUGGAAGGUUAAGGGGAGAGGUGCAAGCCUUGAACUGAAGCCCCAGUAAACGGCGGCAGUAACUAUAACUGUCCUAAGGUAGAAUGCUGCUUUAGUGAGGUGAAAGCCCUCUUCUCGUUUCCCUCUGUGCCAAGAGGUUUUGAGAAAAAAUUUGGCCAUAUGCUGGAAACCCCGUGUAUCCUGCACUAGUCAAAACUUGCUUGUACGGACUUUGUUCGGUACAAUCAGGAUUAUGACUGAUAAUGUGACAGGUGCGGACAAUCAGCAGGAAAGGCUUAUCAAGCUUGGAUGGGUUAUUGGUUUUGUAGAUGGAGAAGGAUGCUUCUCAAUCGGAUUCGUGCGCCAAGUCGGUGAUACGAAUCGAAAAGGCUACAAGACUGGCUACCAAGUUGUUCAUCGUUUUGUUGUGACUCAGGGAAUAAAAAGCGCCGAGUCCUUAGAAGAACUAAAGUCCUUCUUUGGAACGGGUCGCAUUAUUACCAAUAAAAGAUACGACAACCACAAAGAGCAUCUUGGUCAAUUCAUUGUUAAUUCUCGUGAUGGGCUUUUGGAUAGGAUUAUUCCUUUCUUUGAGCAAUAUCCUUUACGCACGUCGAAACGGCACGACUUUGAAAAGUUUGCUGAGUGUGUGCGCAGGGUAAAUCGUGGCGAACAUAAAAUGAUUGAUGGUUUAGUUGAGAUUGCGCAAAUUGUGCAAACAAUGAACCGGCAAAAACCACGCGAAAGUUUGAUAAGAAUCCUCAGAGACUACACGCCAGACGCCGCGACAGCGGUAAAGAUAUAGUCCGAACUGUAUGGCGACAUACAGGUUAUGACAUACGUCAUAACGACCAUGUUGACAAGAUAUCAACAAUAUGGUUUAACGUUGAGCGAAAUUCCUUGUCGGGUAAGUUCCGACCCGCACGAAUGGCGUAACGAUAUGAACACUGUCUCAACAAGGGACUCGGUGAAAUUGCAAUACCGGUAAAGAUGCCGGUUACCCGCUCCAAGACGGAAAGACCCCAUGGAGCUUUACUACAACUUGGCAUUGGGCCGAGUUGCAGCUUGUGUAGGAUAGGUGGGAGACUUUGAAGCCAGAGCGCUAGCUCUGGUGGAGUCACCAGUGAAAUACCACCCUGGCUGUUACUUUGUCCUAACCGAUACCGCAAUGUGCGGAGAAGGUUAACAAGAUGCGAUAGUUGCCGUAACGCAACAUAGAUCUUUUAUCUAUAACUCGAAUCUAUAAACGAUUCACCUACAUGCUUACGAGCAACUACUUUGUCUUGUUAGCUAUCCUUCUCAAUACAUUCCGGUAUCGGAACAGUGUCUGGUGGGUAGUUUAACUGGGGCGGUUGCCUCCUAAAGUGUAACGGAGGCGUUCAAAGGUUGGCUAGGUACGGAUGGAAAUCGUGCCGAUAGUGCAAACGCAUAAGCCAGCUUGACUGCGAGGCAUACAAGCCGAGCAGGUACGAAAGUAGGAGUUAGUGAUCCGCUGCAAAAUUUUGAAUGUGGAAUCUGCAGCGCUCAACGGAUAAAAGCUACCCUGGGGAUAACAGGCUUAUAGCUUCCAAGAGUUCACAUCGACGAAGCUGUUUGGCACCUCGAUGUCGGCUCGUCGCAUCCUGGGGGGGAAGCACCUCCCAAGGGUUUGGCUGUUCGCCAAUUAAAGCGGUACGCGAGCUGGGUUCAGAACGUCGUGAGACAGUUCGGUCCCUAUCUGGAGUGGGCGUAAGGAAAUUUGAGAGGAUUGGCUCCUAGUACGAGAGGACCGGAGUGAACGAACCUCUGGUGUAUGGAUUGUUCUGCCAAGGGCAUUGUCCAGUAGCUACGUUCGGUCGGGAUAAGCGCUGAAAGCAUAUAAGCGCGAAACCCACCUCAAGAUUAGAUUUCCCAUGAGACCCCAGAAAGACUAUCUGGUUGAUAGGCACUAGGUGUAAGCACAGUAAUGUGUUCAGCCGAGGUGUACUAAUCGGUCGAUUGACUUUUUUAC
RNAcentral lists this ribosomal RNA (3931 nucleotides) under Candidatus Saccharimonadota bacterium. RNAcentral's name for it is "23S ribosomal RNA". It matches the Rfam family "Bacterial large subunit ribosomal RNA". Lineage: Bacteria; Candidatus Saccharimonadota. The record is from RNAcentral.